Molecule: small nuclear RNA, 107 nt
Filed under: Phocoena sinus (vaquita)
Lineage: Eukaryota; Metazoa; Chordata; Mammalia; Artiodactyla; Phocoenidae
Source: RNAcentral
GUGCUUGCUUUGACAGCACAUAUACUAAAAUUGGAACGAUACAGAGAAGUAUUAGCAUGAUCCCUGCGCAAUGAUGACAUGCAAAUUGUGAAGCGUUCCAAAUUUUU